AUUGAACGCUGGCGGCAGGCCUAACACAUGCAAGUCGAACGGUAACAGGAAGAAGCUUGCUUCUUUGCUGACGAGUGGCGGGCGGGUGAGUAAUGUCUGGGAAACUGCCUGAUGGAGGGGGAUAACUACUGGAAACGGUAGCUAAUACCGCAUAUCGUCGCAAGACCAAAGAGGGGGACCUUCGGGCCUCUUGCCAUCGGAUGUGCCCAGAUGGGAUUAGCUAGUAGGUGGGGUAACGGCUCACCUAGGCGACGAUCCCUAGCUGGUCUGAGAGGAUGACCAGCCACACUGGAACUGAGACACGGUCCAGACUCCUACGGGAGGCAGCAGUGGGGAAUAUUGGACAAUGGGCGCAAGCCUGAUGCAGCCAUGCCGCGUGUAUGAAGAAGGCCUUCGGGUUGUAAAGUACUUUCAGCGGGGAGGAAGGGAGUAAAGUUAAUACCUUUGCUCAUUGACGUUACCCGAAGAAGAAGCACCGGCUAACUCCGUG
Molecule: ribosomal RNA, 490 nt
Filed under: uncultured bacterium
Lineage: Bacteria
Description: partial 16S ribosomal RNA
Rfam family: Bacterial small subunit ribosomal RNA
Source: RNAcentral